UUCUCUUUUCUUUUUUUUUUGUUUUUUUGUUUUUUGAGAGAUAGAUAGCACACUACCCGUUUCGUUUAUUUUAUUUAGAAAUAAACUUAGCUGGAAAUGUGAAUCAACUAGGAUUCGAACCUAGGUCUCGAGCACCAACCACCAAGCCCUUUGCCAUUUGCUCUAUGGACGGUUGGUCCCUUUCUCUUUUUAUAUAGAUAUAAAAUAAAGUUAUUAAGUUUUCCAAAGCAUAAAAAGUGUAGUAUUUUUGACUUUUUGGUCUGUACGUUAAUUUCUUUAAUUAUUUAUAAUUUUUAAAUUAAUAUUAUUUUUCUGUGGGAACGACUCAAUUCUAAGAGAAUCACUCAACUCUAGAAAGAAUUACUAUCAUCCCAACUAUAUAAUUCUAAAUACUAAAAAGUCGGAAGGACAAACACUCUUAUGCUUCCGAAAGUAUAAUAGCAUUACACUAUAUAUAUAUAUAUAUAUAUAUAUAUAUAUAUAGAGAGAGAGAGAGAGAGAGAGAGAGAGAGAGAGAGUAAAUUUUAUGUACUAUUAGGAGCACAGAAUAAAUAUAGAAUUGGACUGGAAUAUUAUUAAUAAUAUUUGGGCUUAUUUGCUAUCAAGUUUUUAACCAUUGAAUGAAAAAAUAUAGGAUUAAGAUGAUAGUAGUACUCUAGAGUUUAAUAGUAGUUUUUUUAAGGGUUAAGUGAGUGUUGGUUGAAUAGUAUGAUUUACAGGAUAAAAUUGAUUAAAGUGUAUAUCUGACGGUUAAAAAAUCCAUAGCAAAAGAGUCCGAAUAUUAUUAAUAAUAUUCCAGCUCAACUAUAUAUAGAGAGAGAGAGAGAGUUGGGGUAGAAUACUAUUGAUAGCAAAAGGUCUUAUUUGCUAUCAAGUUUUUAGCCUUUGAAUCAAUUGUUUUUAUCAUUUCUAACCAUUGGAUUAAAUAUUAUAACCUAGUGGGACCACUCAACCCUAAGGGAUUAAUAUUAUCCUAACCCUAUAAUUUUUCAUUCAAGAGUUAAAAACUUGAUAGUAAUUUUUUUUUUUUAUUAUCAAUAGUAUUCCAGCCUAGCUCUCUCUCUCUCUCUCUAUAUAUAUAUAGAAUUAGGCUAGAAAACUAUUAAUAGCACCAAGUUAUUGGUGCUAUUAAGUUUUCGGCCCUUGGAUGAAAGAAUGUACUGUUAGGAUAAUAGUGGUAUCCUAGGGUUGAGCGGGUGGUUGGUUGAAUAGCAUGAUCUAGCGGGUGAAUAUGGUCAACGGGGUUGAUCCAACGGAAGAAAACUUGAUAGCACCAAGUUCUUAAUGCUAUUGAUAUUAUUGUACCCGAACUAUAUAUAUAUAUCUAGAGAGAGAGAGAGAGAGAGGGCUAGGUUGGUAUACUAUCGGUAGCACGGAGGCCUCCGUACUAUCGGGUUAUUUUUAAUGAUCGAUAUAGCUUACAAAUUAAUGAUCGACUCCAUUAUACUUGAUCUGUACCCUC
This 1462-nucleotide long non-coding RNA is filed under the name Ananas comosus (pineapple). Its description in RNAcentral is "long non-coding RNA (ACOM_LNC018673)". Lineage: Eukaryota; Viridiplantae; Streptophyta; Magnoliopsida; Poales; Bromeliaceae. The record is from RNAcentral.